Onychostoma macrolepis is the source of this 1223-nucleotide long non-coding RNA. RefSeq lists it as uncharacterized. The record is from RefSeq and is a predicted model, not a curated record. NCBI's taxonomy places the organism in Eukaryota, Metazoa, Chordata, Actinopteri, Cypriniformes, Cyprinidae. The transcript is spliced from 3 exons.
CUGUAAUGGUUCUUUUGAUUUCUCCCAACUUCACUGACAAAUUAUAUCUUCACCUGUUAAUUAUACACACACUCUGAGUACGGCUGAAGGCCCAAAUGCAUCAGUGUGCAGUGUUUUAGUUAUGUUUCUAUUAAUAGUGAUGAUGGACAAGAAGUGAAUAAAGGCUUUUUAACUUUUUUGGACCGGAAGAAGUGCCUUGGAUUUCUUUAUAUUAAUAGAGUUAGCUUAUAUCGAAGUUAGCUAGACUCGUUUAGCAAGCCUAAUUUCACAAGUCUUUUUUUUUUGUUUGUUUUUUUCCCCUGCUGAUAAGGAGUAAACCAUUGGUCGGGUUUUAAUUGUUGCACUAACAUUUAAACCAUGUGAGUUUAAUGGCAAAGAAAGCCAUCAAUUACAACAUUUAAACAAAACGUGAUCAUUAGUAAUGAGCUCCUGACUUACCUGGACAGUGGUGUGUGUGUGUGUGUGUGUGUGUGUGUGGGUAGCGAGUCAGUUCGUUAAACCAUUGCGUCGCAAAAUGAUUGACUGUUUCGAAGCGCUCCAGUCGGAUCGUAUCACGAAUCAUUUGAUUCAGAUCAGAUAUGUAAGGAAUAAUUGACGACGGGCCAAAAAUAAUGCACACCGGAGGUGUAACACCACCUCAGAUGUACAUUAUUUUUCUCUUUGUCUAACUAUUACAAGUAGAGAUGGGUUUCAAGAACUGGUACUACUUUGGUUCCUGACUUGUUCAGUACUGAAAAAUGGAUAUAAGCUACAGGAUCAAUAGUGCUGCUAUCAGUAUUUUAGUAACGUUGAUUCAUUACCCCUUUAGACACAACCACAUAUUAUCCAAACCAUAUCCAAGUGGAUGGAAGCGAGGAUCCAGGAUCAAGAAAUCAUUCAUCAUGAAGACUAUUCCAUAGGAAGCAGCGAAUUCUGGAUCAUCCUGACCAUUCUGUUGUCCUGGAUUUGAAGACAUGCUGGAACUGCAUUUCUCAUGGUUGAAAGAUUUGUGCAGCGGUAUCCAGACAUAUAAGCACCCUUCCUGGACCCACAUGACUAAAGGCUCUGGAGGAGAGACAGAUUCAAGGGAAAGAUGAAAAAUAAGGAAGUCUGGGAACGACUGAAGAAGACCACAGCGAGGGAAGGAAGUAAUCAUCACAAUGUAAGUUCUUUGAGAAUGUGUGUAUUGUGUUACGAAUGGAUUCGUGUGUUGCUAGGGAAACUGUAUAUCAUUUGCUCAUGUG